CCACAGCUUGCGAUCUCACCCUCAGCCGAAGUCGCGGCCGCCGAUUCUCUCCAAGUCGUGCCCUAACCAAACCAGCAAGUAGAUUCCCUUCGGCAGUUCUGGUGAAUUGAUGAUUGGGCUCUUGUUCGGAGGAUUGUGAUGCAGUUUUGUGUUGCUGGUUUUUCUGUGUUUACAGAUUUCGGACAGAAUUUGUUAGGACGUUGAUUGAAGACGGUUGAUACAAUCUACGUAUAAAGG
Molecule: long non-coding RNA, 237 nt
Organism: Zingiber officinale
Lineage: Eukaryota; Viridiplantae; Streptophyta; Magnoliopsida; Zingiberales; Zingiberaceae
Exons: 3
Source: RefSeq, a predicted model, not a curated record